RNAcentral lists this unclassified non-coding RNA (734 nucleotides) under Hevea brasiliensis (rubber tree). The record is from RNAcentral. Lineage: Eukaryota; Viridiplantae; Streptophyta; Magnoliopsida; Malpighiales; Euphorbiaceae.
AGACCCAGAUGGCUGGAAAACGGUAAGUUUCCUCUGGUAGCUCAUAGGUUCUGAGUAUGGUUGCAUUUGUUCAGGGUCAGGUAUUUUACCUUUGUCAAGUUAAAUCAUAUGCCCAUAGUUCUAUGCUGUAUUAUAUGCUAUUGUAAUUGUCUAUUGAAAUAAAUAUUAACAUGGGAAGGAAAGAGGUGGGUGUGCUAAUUUCUUGUAUGUGUUCAACUCAUGACCUAAAACUAAUUAAUGAAAAAUUAAAAGUGAGAUGAGUGGAAGUGCAUGAUAGGGAUGCUAUCUUUAAGUGUCAAAAAAUUCACCAUUAUUUAAAUGUUAUCCAUUGUACAGAUUGUUGCCUAUUAACUUGUUUGUCUGUUGAAUUAAUAAGUAGACUAGUGUAAGUUUUAUUAUUAAAAUGAUAUAUUGAUUGUGCUAUGGGGAAAAAUCUUUGAAAGAGAGCUUGUACUCAAGUUGAAAAAGAAAAUUGCAUUUUUGUGAAAUAUAAGAAACAGAAGAUAUGAUGAUAUCUAAAACCACAUGGAAGCUUUCAACCAACCAUGCCAAUGAAUCCAUAUCUGUUAUAUGGAGAAAUAGACUGCAAACUUAGCUCAAGAUUGAGCAUAGGCAUACAGUGCAAAGCAUGUUAAUGUCCUUUAGGUAGGCAGAUUUUUUAUAUAUGUUUAUUUGCUGACGAGCUUAUGCUGUUCUGGAUCAUUUCUAUAGGUCCUGGUUGACAAUGAAGACUU